Xenopus laevis (African clawed frog) is the source of this 676-nucleotide RNA transcript. It is a transcript of the gene named ovostatin-like, with no coding region annotated. The record is from RefSeq and is a predicted model, not a curated record. The transcript has 4 exons. NCBI's taxonomy places the organism in Eukaryota, Metazoa, Chordata, Amphibia, Anura, Pipidae.
ACCACUCCUAGCUGGAAACCUUAGCUACAACACUGUGGCACAUAAUGUGAGUUAACACUCACGCUCACUUCUCCAGGGAUCACAGUAUGGAAUCUAUUUAGAGUUUGAGACAGUUUUUAAAAAGGUCAUUAGAUCUUUCUCCUUUAAGGUCAAGAGAGGAAAAACUUUUAUUUUUAAGAUGGCACAGUACAUUGGCAUCGUCCAGAGCUUUCUGAUGAUUCAUGGGUGGAUAGGUUUCCUUACAGACGAGCGCCUUCAGCAGAAGUAGAGAUGACUUCUUAUGUGUUACUGGCUCUCUUGUCCAAACCUGAUGUCUCAGCUGAAGAUCUGACCUUGACCACCCAGAUUGUCUCCUGGAUCAUAAAGCAACAGAAUCAUAGUGGUAGCUUCUCUGCAACUCAGCUCUCCAAAGAUAUUCAGAAGUUUUGGUUCUUGGUGGAGCAAGAAAUUCAGAUCAGCCAGCCACUAUUACCAUCUAUGAUUACUAUGAGACAGAUGAUUUGGCCAUCACCAAAUACAAUGCCCCCUGUAGUAUAAAAGUUCCUUGUCGGCUCCAUAGCAUAAAGUAUGUGGGUGGAGACCGGUGCUGGCGGGGUUUAACCUGUUUCAUGGAGGAUUUAAACCACACUGACUGUCACCCAUGGUUGCCAAUAAAAUGACUUUCACUUAUUCUGAA